CCCAAUCAAGCCCUCACCUGAGGGGUCCAUAUGGAACACUAUUAAGAAGAUGGCGAAGUCCAGGAAAGAGCAGUUGCACUUCCAGGGGUUUCCACCUGCAAGCCGGUAUUUCUGAGGUCCAGGUACCUCAAAGAGGUGGUGUUGGCAAAUACAGGAGAACUGAACAGAAAUUGAAACGCGAGGCUCAAUGCCCUGCCGCCCAGCUUGGUGGCUCUGUCGCUCGCUCCCAGACUGCUGCUGGAAGCUUGCCCACUUGGCAGCUUUGAAAGGUCUCACCCUUUCCCUGCGUUUGCAAGUGAAGGG
Molecule: long non-coding RNA, 303 nt
Filed under: Homo sapiens (human)
Lineage: Eukaryota; Metazoa; Chordata; Mammalia; Primates; Hominidae
Description: HSALNT0016884
Source: RNAcentral